GACGAACGCUGGCGGCGUGCUUAACACAUGCAAGUCGAACGGAAAGGCCCUGCUUUUGUUGGGUGCUCGAGUGGCGAACGGGUGAGUAACACGUGAGUAACCUGCCCUUGACUUUGGGAUAACUUCAGGAAACUGGGGCUAAUACCGGCUAGGAGCUCCUGCUGCAUGGUGGGGGUUGGAAAUUUUCGGCGGUUGGGGAUGGACUCGCGGCUUAUCAGCUUGUUGGUGGGGUAGUGGCUUACCAAGGCUUGGACGGGUAGCCGGCCUGAGAGGGUGACCGGCCAAAUUGGGACUGAGAUACGGCCCAGACUCCUACGGGAGGCAGCAGUGGGGAAUAGUGCACAAUGGGCGGAAGCCUGAUGCAGCAACGCCGCGUGCGAGAUGACGGCCUUCGGGUAGUAAACCGCUUUCGCCUGUGACGAAGCGUGAGUGACGGGAAUGGGUAAAGAAGCACCGGCUAACUACGU
This 467-nucleotide ribosomal RNA is filed under the name uncultured bacterium. RNAcentral describes it as "partial 16S ribosomal RNA". It matches the Rfam family "Bacterial small subunit ribosomal RNA", at positions 28 to 506 of the family's 1533-position model. The record is from RNAcentral.